CCCCUAGUAACUGCGAGUGAAGCGGGAAGAGCUCAAAUUUAAAAUCUGGCAGUCUUCUGGCUGUCCGAGUUGUAAUCUGGAGAAGCGUUUUCUGUGUUAGACCGUGUACAAGUCUCCUGGAACGGAGUGUCAUAGAGGGUGAGAAUCCCGUCCAUGACACGGACUACUAAUACUUUGUGAUACGCUCUCGAAGAGUCGAGUUGUUUGGGAAUGCAGCUCAAAAUGGGUGGUAAAUUCCAUCUAAAGCUAAAUACAGGCGAGAGACCGAUAGCGAACAAGUACCGUGAGGGAAAGAUGAAAAGCACUUUGGAAAGAGAGUUAAACAGUACGUGAAAUUGUUGAAAGGGAAACGCUUGAAGUCAGUCGCGUUGUGCAGAACUCAGCCUUGCCUCGGCUUGGUGUACUUUCUGCACAACGGGUCAACAUCAAUUUUGGCCCAUGGAGAAAGGUGGGGGGAAUGUAGCGCUGUUUCGGCAGCGUGUUAUAGCCCUCUAUUGUAUACAUGGGCUGGGAUUGAGGAUCGCAGCACGCCCUUGUGGCCGGGGGUUCGCCCUACGUACCGUGCUUAGGAUGUUGGCAGAAUGGCUUUAAGCGACCCGUCUUGAAACACGGACCAAGGAGUCUAACAUGCUUGCGAGUGUUCGGGUGGAAAACCCUUGUGCGUAAUGAAAGUGAAAGUUGGGAACCUCCGCAAGGGGGUGCACCGACGCCCGGCCCUGACGUUCUCUGACGGUGCUGCGGUAGAGCAAGUAUGCUAGGACCCGAAAGAUGGUGAACUAUGCCUGAAUAGGGCGAAGCCAGAGGAAACUCUGGUGGAGGCUCGUAGCGAUUCUGACGUGCAAAUCGAUCGUCAAAUUUGGG
Molecule: ribosomal RNA, 861 nt
Filed under: Fomitiporia punicata
Lineage: Eukaryota; Fungi; Basidiomycota; Agaricomycetes; Hymenochaetales; Hymenochaetaceae
Description: eukaryotic LSU rRNA
Rfam family: Eukaryotic large subunit ribosomal RNA
Source: RNAcentral